GACAGAGGUGCCGAGCGUUAGGCGGAAUCACUGGGCUUAAAGCGCGUGUAGGCGGGUCCGUAAGUGCCUUGUGAAAUCCCACGGCUCAACCGUGGAACUGCUGGGCAUACUGCGGGUCUUGGGCCAUCUAGGGGCGAGCGGAACAAGCGGUGGAGCGGUGAAAUGCGUAGAUAUCGCUUGGAACGCCAAUGGUGAAAACAGGUAGCUGGGAGUGUGCUGACGCUGAGACACGAAAGCCAGGGGAGCAAACGGG
Molecule: ribosomal RNA, 253 nt
Filed under: uncultured bacterium
Lineage: Bacteria
Description: partial 16S ribosomal RNA
Rfam family: Bacterial small subunit ribosomal RNA
Source: RNAcentral